UUAUAUUGUGUAUGCUGCCAGUUGUGGAUAUUAAAUAUGUUUUAUGCAGGUUGAAAUUUUUGGGAUUGUUCAAAUUACAGGAGAGACUCUGCCAAAAUUUUGGCAGAAAGUCUCGUACUCUUAUUCCUUUUGGAAAAAGGAGACUACAGUUUUAGUAAGUGGUCCAGGCAUCUAGGUGAUGUCGGAAUUUCCACAGGAUUCAUCCCGGGUUUCAGGAAAUUCAGGGCGG
Molecule: long non-coding RNA, 229 nt
Filed under: Prunus persica (peach)
Lineage: Eukaryota; Viridiplantae; Streptophyta; Magnoliopsida; Rosales; Rosaceae
Description: long non-coding RNA (PPER_LNC000547)
Source: RNAcentral